This 434-nucleotide ribosomal RNA is filed under the name uncultured bacterium. Its description in RNAcentral is "bacterial SSU rRNA". It matches the Rfam family "Bacterial small subunit ribosomal RNA", at positions 917 to 1349 of the family's 1533-position model. The record is from RNAcentral.
GGACCCGCACAAGUAGUGGAGCAUGUGGUUUAAUUCGAAGAUACGCGCAGAACCUUACCAACACUUGACAUGUUCGUCGCGACUCUAAGAGAUUAGAGUUUUCGGUUCGGCCGGACGAAACACAGGUGCUGCAUGGCUGUCGUCAGCUCGUGUCGUGAGAUGUUGGGUUAAGUCCCGCAACGAGCGCAACCCUCACUUUUAGUUGCCAUCAUUAAGUUGGGCACUCUGAAAGAACUGCCAGUGAUAAGCUGGAGGAAGGUGGGGAUGACGUCAAGUCCUCAUGGCCCUUACGUGUUGGGCUACACACGUGCUACAAUGGCAUCUACAAUAGGAAGCAAGACGGCGACGUCAAGCAAAUCCUAAAAAUAUGCCUCAGUUCGGAUUGUACUCUGCAACUCGAGUACAUGAAGCUGGAAUUACUAGUAAUCGCGGAU